CCUACGGGGGGCUGCAGUCGAGAAUCUUUCGCAAUGGGCGCAAGCCUGACGAAGCGACGCCGUGUGGAUGAUGACAGCUUUCGGGUUGUAAAGUCCUUUCGCUUGGGAACAAGAGACAUUAGCUAAUAACUAAUUAUUUGAGGGUACCAGGUAAAGAAGCACCGGCAAACUCCGUGCCAGCAGCUGCGGUAAUACGGAGGGUGCAAGCAUUAAUCGGAUUUAUUGGGCGUAAAGGGCGCGUAGGCGGAUGGCCAAGUCAGAUGUGAAAUUUUGAU
This 275-nucleotide ribosomal RNA is filed under the name uncultured Neochlamydia sp. RNAcentral describes it as "partial 16S ribosomal RNA". It matches the Rfam family "Bacterial small subunit ribosomal RNA", at positions 338 to 606 of the family's 1533-position model. Lineage: Bacteria; Pseudomonadati; Chlamydiota; Chlamydiia; Parachlamydiales; Parachlamydiaceae. The record is from RNAcentral.